GACGAACGCUGGCGGCGUGCCUAACACAUGCAAGUCGAACGGGGAAGUUAGCAAUAACUUUCUAGUGGCGAACGGGUGAGUAACGCGUAGACAACCAACCUUUUUGUGGGGGACAACACUUCGAAAGGAGUGCUAAUACCGCAUGAGCUCCAGAUGCCGCCUGGCGUUUGGAGGAAAGGAGCUUCACGGCUUCGCAAAAAGACGGGUCUGCGUCUGAUUAGCUAGUUGGAGGGGUAACGGCCCACCAAGGCGACGAUCAGUAGCCGGUCGGAGAGGAUGGACGGCCACACUGGGACUGAGACACGGCCCAGACUCCUACGGGAGGCAGCAGUGGGGAAUCUUCCGCAAUGGACGAAAGUCUGACGGAGCGACGCCGCGUGAGUGAUGAAGGCCCUUGGGUCGUAAAGCUCUGUCAUCAGGGACGAACGGUCACGUCAGGAAAUGGGCGUGAAUUGACGGUACCUGAGAAGGAAGCCACGGCUAACUACGUGCCAGCCGCCGCAGUAA
Molecule: ribosomal RNA, 507 nt
Filed under: uncultured bacterium
Lineage: Bacteria
Description: partial 16S ribosomal RNA
Rfam family: Bacterial small subunit ribosomal RNA
Source: RNAcentral